UCUUUGAACGCAAGUUGCGCCCGAAACCAUUAGGCCGAGGGCACGUCUGCCUGGGCGUCACGCAUCACGUCGCCCCCCGCACUCCGCGCCCAGAAUCAUGGACGCGGUGGUGUCGCGGGGCGGAUACUGGCCUCCCGUGCGCCCCGAGCGCGCGGUUGGCC
Molecule: ribosomal RNA, 161 nt
Filed under: Nicotiana tomentosiformis
Lineage: Eukaryota; Viridiplantae; Streptophyta; Magnoliopsida; Solanales; Solanaceae
Description: 5.8S ribosomal RNA
Source: RNAcentral